GACAGAGGGUGCAAACGUUGUUCGGAAUUACUGGGCGUAAAGCGCGUGUAGGCGGCUAAGUAAGUCGGGCGUGAAAUCCCACGGCUCAACCGUGGAAGUGCACUCGAAACUGCAUAGCUAGAGUCCUGGAGAGGAAGGUGGAAUGCUUGGUGUAGAGGUGAAAUUCGUAGAUAUCAAGCGGAGCACCGGUGGCGAAGGCGGCCUUCUGGACAGUGACUGACGCUGAGACGCGAAAGCGUGGGGAGCAAACAGG
This 253-nucleotide ribosomal RNA is filed under the name uncultured bacterium. Its description in RNAcentral is "partial 16S ribosomal RNA". It matches the Rfam family "Bacterial small subunit ribosomal RNA", at positions 524 to 776 of the family's 1533-position model. The record is from RNAcentral.